GCCUGGGUGGCUCAGUCGGUUGAGCGUCUGACUUCAGCUCAGGUCAUGAUCUUGCGAUUCAUGGGUUCGAGCCCCACAUCAGGUU
RNAcentral lists this transfer RNA (85 nucleotides) under Felis catus (domestic cat). It matches the Rfam family "tRNA". Rfam says of the family: Transfer RNA (tRNA) molecules are approximately 80 nucleotides in length. Their secondary structure includes four short double-helical elements and three loops (D, anti-codon, and T loops). Lineage: Eukaryota; Metazoa; Chordata; Mammalia; Carnivora; Felidae. The record is from Rfam by way of RNAcentral.